GGCAGGAAAUAAACACGAAAUCGAGCAUCAGGUUGCGGCGCGUGGAACAACCGGUGGUACUGAGACACGGUUCUUCGGUGCUCGCGGCCUCGGCCCCCUGAGCAGCACGACCCAAGUUUAGGUCAACUUAACCCUAUCCCAUCCCGCUUACGUCCGGCUCCGGUGGAACGCUUGGGGGGAAAAAAAAUGGGAGACAACCCACAAAAGUGGAUCUCGGCAGGUCCGGGCUGCGAUCCGGACCGAAACCUGUCGGGCGCGCUCUGUCCCGCCUGACCGCGGCUUUCCGCGGCGCGGGGCAGGGAGCACUCGCACCCCUCCCUGCCCCGGCUGCUGCGGAGAUUUGCCCGGCCGCUGCCGGCGGUGAGGCGAGGCUGAACAGGGGAAACAGCCUCAGGCUUGCGGGCAGCGGGAACAUACACCAGGGAGAGGGAAUAACGUCCUGCGGAGGGCCGGGCGGCAGCGGAGCGCUGCAGGGCGCUCGGCGACAGGCCCCUACUUCGGAUCAACUCAUUAUCCCGAAUAAACGAUGUGUCAUUCCCAUUAUUUAUGUUUCACUGCAGCCAAAGUAUCUGGACCUCGUUUUGCAUUUCAAGACAAACAGCUGUCCCAAGUUUCAGCUGGAGGAGGAAAAGGAAGACACCAUCAAGCACAAAUUGGUCAUCCAGAAGCCAAAAUGUGUUAUGACAAUCGUCUCCGACAUGCAAAGGUAAAUGUGAAAAGGAGCCAAGCACUGUUGCAACUGAGGGAUUCUGUUAAGAAGCUGAAGGUGACCACUGAGAACUUCUCCCUCCUGCUUACAUAAAGAGUGAUAGCUUUUCAAUGCAAGGACUCCCAAUCUUUUACUAAGUAGGCAAAUACAGUCGGAGACACAUUUUUCUCCAUGUGAGUAGCCCCACUGAGGUAUCAAUGUGAUCCACCAGCAUCACAGGAACAGGAUCAAAGGCUACAAAGAAGGGAAGUUUGGAACUCCAGAUGAUUUGCUCAUCAAAAUCAGGUGUUGUGGAUAUCCUAGCUUUAAUUGUUACUGUAAUACAUGCUUAGAGCCUUCUCCU
Long non-coding RNA from Corvus hawaiiensis (hawaiian crow), 1052 nucleotides. RefSeq lists it as uncharacterized. Lineage: Eukaryota; Metazoa; Chordata; Aves; Passeriformes; Corvidae. The transcript has 4 exons. The record is from RefSeq and is a predicted model, not a curated record.